This 478-nucleotide ribosomal RNA is filed under the name uncultured bacterium. RNAcentral describes it as "partial 16S ribosomal RNA". It matches the Rfam family "Bacterial small subunit ribosomal RNA", at positions 28 to 507 of the family's 1533-position model. The record is from RNAcentral.
GAUGAACGCUGGCGGCGUGCUUAACACAUGCAAGUCGAACGGGAAAUAUUUCAUUGAGACUUCGGUGGAUUUGAUUUAUUUCUAGUGGCGGACGGGUGAGUAACGCGUGGGUAACCUGCCUUAUACAGGGGGAUAACAGUCAGAAAUGGCUGCUAAUACCGCAUAAGCGCACAGAGCUGCAUGGCUCAGUGUGAAAAACUCCGGUGGUAUAAGAUGGACCCGCGUUGGAUUAGCUAGUUGGUGGGGUAACGGCCCACCAAGGCGACGAUCCAUAGCCGGCCUGAGAGGGUGAACGGCCACAUUGGGACUGAGACACGGCCCAGACUCCUACGGGAGGCAGCAGUGGGGAAUAUUGCACAAUGGGGGAAACCCUGAUGCAGCGACGCCGCGUGAAGGAAGAAGUAUCUCGGUAUGUAAACUUCCAUCAGCAGGGAAGAUAGUGACGGUACCUGACUAAGAAGCCCCGGCUAACUACGUG